Molecule: small nucleolar RNA, 207 nt
Organism: Sceloporus undulatus (fence lizard)
Lineage: Eukaryota; Metazoa; Chordata; Lepidosauria; Squamata; Phrynosomatidae
Product: small nucleolar RNA SNORA73 family
Exons: 1
Source: RefSeq, a predicted model, not a curated record
CCAACAGGGAUACCUGGAGAAGUUGCUUUCUCUCAGCUCUGUCCAUGUGAUGUCUGGGAGCAUAGAUCCUUGGGCUCUGUGAUGUAUAGUCCCCUUCCACACUGUUGGAGAGCAAGCUGAACCCCUGCGUUCUGCAACCUGCAUAUUCCUACUGCUUCUCUGAGCCUUUGGCUGUGACUGAGGAGAUAAACCAUGCAGGAGACAUUA